Molecule: ribosomal RNA, 464 nt
Filed under: uncultured bacterium
Lineage: Bacteria
Description: partial 16S ribosomal RNA
Rfam family: Bacterial small subunit ribosomal RNA
Source: RNAcentral
CUACGGGUCGCACCAGUGGGGAAUAUUGCACAAUGGGCGCAAGCCUGAUGCAGCCAUGCCGCGUGUAUGAAGAAGGCCUUCGGGUUGUAAAGUACUUUCAGCGGGGAGGAAGGGAGUAAAGUUAAUACCUUUGCUCAUUGACGUUACCCGCAGAAGAAGCACCGGCUAACUCCGUGCCAGCAGCCGCGGUAAUACGGAGGGUGCAAGCGUUAAUCGGAAUUACUGGGCGUAAAGCGCACGCAGGCGGUUUGUUAAGUCAGAUGUGAAAUCCCCGGGCUCAACCUGGGAACUGCAUCUGAUACUGGCAAGCUUGAGUCUCGUAGAGGGGGGUAGAAUUCCAGGUGUAGCGGUGAAAUGCAUAGAGAUCUGGAGGAAUACCGGUGGCGAAGGCGGCCCCCUGGACGAAGACUGACGCUCAGGUGCGAAAGCGUGGGGAGCAAACAGGAUUAGAUACCCUAGUAGUC